Molecule: ribosomal RNA, 492 nt
Filed under: uncultured bacterium
Lineage: Bacteria
Description: partial 16S ribosomal RNA
Rfam family: Bacterial small subunit ribosomal RNA
Source: RNAcentral
AGUGAACGCUGGCGGUAGGCCUAACACAUGCAAGUCGAACGGCAGCACAGUAAGAGCUUGCUCUUACGGGUGGCGAGUGGCGGACGGGUGAGGAAUACAUCAGAAUCUACUUUUUCGGGGGGGAUAACGUAGGGAAACUUACGCUAAUACCGCAUACGACCUACGGGAGAAAGCAGUGGAUCUUCGGACCUUGCGCGAUUGAAUGAGCCGAUGCCGGAUUAGCUAGUUGGCGGGGUAAAGGCACACCAAGGCAACGAUCCGUAGCUGGUCUGAGAGGAUGAUCAGCCACACUGGAACUGAGACACGGUCCAGACUCCUACGGGAGGCAGCAGUGGGGAAUCUUGCACAAUGGGCGCAAGCCUGAUCGAGCCAUACCGCGUGAGUGAAGAAGGUCUUCGGGUUGUAAAACCCUUUUGUUGGGAAAGAACAGAAGCAGGUUAAUCCAUGGCUGUUUUGACGGUACCCAAAGAAUAAGCCCCGGCUAACUUCGUG